This 501-nucleotide ribosomal RNA is filed under the name uncultured bacterium. RNAcentral's name for it is "partial 16S ribosomal RNA". It matches the Rfam family "Bacterial small subunit ribosomal RNA", at positions 29 to 523 of the family's 1533-position model. The record is from RNAcentral.
AUUGAACGCUGGCGGCAUGCCUUACACAUGCAAGUCAAACGGCAGCACGGGUGCUUGCACCUGGUGGCGAGUGGCGAACGGGUGAGUAAUACAUCGGAACGUACCUUAUCGUGGGGGAUAACGCAGCGAAAGCUGUGCUAAUACCGCAUACGCCCUGAGGGGGAAAGCGGGGGAUCGAAAGACCUCGCGCGAUUAGAGCGGCCGAUGCCUGAUUAGCUUGUUGGUGGGGUAAAAGCCCACCAAGGCGACGAUCAGUAGCUGGUCUGAGAGGACGAUCAGGCAAACUGGGAAUGAGACACGGCCCAGACUCCUACGGGAGGCAGGAGUGGGGAAUUUUGGACAAUGGGGGCAACCCUGAUCCAGCAAUGCCGCGUGAGUGAAGGAGGCCUUCGGGUUGUAAAGCUCUUUUGUCAGGGAAGAAACACCGGCUCUAACACAGUCCGGGAAUGACGGUACCUGAAGAAUAAGCACCGGCUAACUACGUGCCAGCCGCCGCGGUAA